CCGGCAGCACGCGGCGGGGCCGGCAGCGGGGAGGAUGCCGCCUGGAGCAGAGCGGGGUGCCGGGGCCCGCGGCCGGGACCCCCCUGCGGUGCUGCCCCGGGCCCGGGACGGCGCCCGGCAGAGGCCCAUCGGUUUUCUCGCCCACCCAAAAGCCAACGGCCAGACCGCCCGCACCAGGGCCUCGGUGUACCGGACGGACAAACUGCCUCCAGAGCCCCACAGAUUCACAACCCCAGUCUUAACUGUGAGACAAGAAGAACUUUCUCAACCCAAAAAAUUGCACCCAGAUUAUGAAGA
Long non-coding RNA from Dromaius novaehollandiae (emu), 297 nucleotides. RefSeq lists it as uncharacterized. The transcript is spliced from 3 exons. The record is from RefSeq and is a predicted model, not a curated record. Lineage: Eukaryota; Metazoa; Chordata; Aves; Casuariiformes; Dromaiidae.